Cercocebus atys (sooty mangabey) is the source of this 349-nucleotide long non-coding RNA. RefSeq lists it as uncharacterized. NCBI's taxonomy places the organism in Eukaryota, Metazoa, Chordata, Mammalia, Primates, Cercopithecidae. The record is from RefSeq and is a predicted model, not a curated record. The transcript is spliced from 2 exons.
GACGGGGACGGUGCGGUCCCACGAAGAAACUGAGGCAGGCGCGAAUCGUCGAGUGCGCCCGUGGCCCUGAGGGCAGGCGGAGACCCUGGUGGCUCCCAUACGCGUAACAGCACUCACUGCUCUUUGACGUUAGUGAAUAGAACGACCCACUGAUGAUCUCUUCUGGAGUUUUGGCGUGAAGCUAAAACUGGCAGCCCCUGGACUAAGUUCGGCAUAUAGACUAGAUUCGAUAUUUAGCCAUUAUGUACCCUGCACCAUAUUGAUGGUUACAAUGUUGAAAUAUUUCGAGGGUAAAUAGUAUCAUGGUAAUUACAAUAAAUGUUACAAUUAAUAGAAAUUUUAAUAUAAA